CCAGGCCAUAACAGACAAUUGGAGUCUGGAUAGCUCCCCAGCUGGCCGGCUCCAUGUCAAACCAUUCAACCCAUGCCAGCAUGGAAAACAGACAUUAAACAAUGAUGUUGAUGAUGAU
This is a long non-coding RNA of Octopus sinensis (East Asian common octopus), 118 nucleotides long. RefSeq lists it as uncharacterized. Lineage: Eukaryota; Metazoa; Mollusca; Cephalopoda; Octopoda; Octopodidae. The transcript is spliced from 3 exons. The record is from RefSeq and is a predicted model, not a curated record.